Long non-coding RNA from Juglans microcarpa x Juglans regia, 71 nucleotides. RefSeq lists it as uncharacterized. The record is from RefSeq and is a predicted model, not a curated record. NCBI's taxonomy places the organism in Eukaryota, Viridiplantae, Streptophyta, Magnoliopsida, Fagales, Juglandaceae. The transcript has 3 exons.
UUGAAAAAUUUAUUAGUUCGAACGUAUAAAAUCUGAUAUAUGGAAAAAAUAAGAGGGAAAUGCAAAAACUU